Molecule: long non-coding RNA, 2951 nt
Organism: Oncorhynchus tshawytscha (Chinook salmon)
Lineage: Eukaryota; Metazoa; Chordata; Actinopteri; Salmoniformes; Salmonidae
Source: Ensembl
GGGCAGGGGAGGGAGAGGGGAAUGACAAGGGGCAGGGGAGGGAGAGGGGAAUGACAGGGGGCAGGAGAGGCACAGGGGAAUGACAGGGGGCAGGGGAGGGAGAGGGAAUGACAGGUGGCAGGGGAGGGACAGGGAAUGACAGGGGCAGGGGAGGGAGAGGGGAAUGACAGGUGGGCAGGGGAGGGAGAGGGGAAUGACAGAUGGGCAGGGGAGGGAGAGGGGAAUGAUAGGGGGCAGGGGAGGGAGAGGGGAAUGACAGGUGGGCAGGGGAGGGAGAGGGGAAUGACAGGGGGCAGGGGAGGAAGAGGGGAAUGACAGGGGGCAGGGGGGGCAGGGGGAGGGAGAAGGGAAUGACAGGUGGGCAGGAGAGGGAGAGGGGAAUGACAGGUGGGCAGGGGAGGGAGAGGUGAAUGACAGGUGGGCAGGAGAGGGAGAGGGGAAUGACAGGGGGGCAGGGGAGGGAGAGGGGAAUGACAGGUGGGCAGGAGAGGGAGAGGGGAAUGACAGGGGGCAGGGGAGGGAGAGGGGAAUGACAGGUGGGCAGGAGAGGGAGAGGGGAAUGACAUGGGGUAAGGGAGGGAGAGGGGAAUGACAGGGGCCAGGGGAGGGAGAGGGGAAUGACAGGUGGGCAGGGGAGAGAGAGAGGGGAAUGACAGGGGGCAGGGGAGGGAGAGGGGGAUGACAGUGGGCAGGAGAGGAUGGGAAACAGCCUGGGGAUGCUGAAAGGACUGCACAGAGGCACCAGCAUCAUUUAUGCAGAGUUUGGCUGAGGGGUGGAGGGUGUCUAGGACCCCCUCAAUAGCCCUUGAGGGUGGCUGAGACUGAGGGUGUAUCCAUGGUGCGAAAGAGGGUGUAUUUUUGGAGGGGAGGAGGAGGAUGGAGAAGGAGGAGGAGGGGGGUGGGGUGGCUGGGCACUGUGCUCAAUGACGCUUGUCUGCCUGUCUGUCUGAUGUCCCAUUAAGGUUUGGGACAGGCCGGGGCUGAGAGGGGAGGAGAGGAGGGAAGGUGCUGUUCAAUCCCCUGGUAGACUGCUGCUCCAUCUGCUCUGCUCUGUUCUAUUCUACUCUGCUCUACCCUACUCUGCUCUGGGCUCCCCAUUAGAACAGCAGGCCUGUCUGCUCUGCUGCAUACUAAUUCUGCAUCCCCACCACAGCCACCAAUGUCAGCUAGUAGUGAGGCUCAUGAGAAGCAGGGUGCAUCAAGAGAAAGACAGGCAGCUCAGUGGGGAGGCUCUGCCGAGGGAGAUUGGCAUAUGCUGGAUGGUUGUGUGUGCUGCUGGGCUGUUGGCUCAGGGCCUGUGGUAUGAGCCUGGUGGUUGCAAGUGUGUGGACGGCCAGAUGAUGGUUGAGUGUGGUGAUGUGGUCAGACAGUUUAAUGACACUUCUUAACCAUGGACAUACCACACAGACAACACUGACAUAUUGUACACACACCAUAGGACACAUGAGUUUGAUACAUGGUGUGAUGUGAUGCCUCAGAAAGAGAUUGUUCUGUCAUAAUGAAAAAUGAGACUGGAAAAUAAUCACAGAUACUAUAUAAGUUGUCUCCUUUCAAAAUGUUGAUCAGUAAAUGUACUGAAUCCCGUAAGUAUCAACAUGUAAAUGUAAAAAUGUUCAUUGUAAACACUCUUACAAAGAAACCCUCUAUUGUGGCAGCAGAAAAGGGUGGUUCUCUGAUGACAUCGUCAUGGUAACUACCAGCAGGAGCAACAUAAAGACUGUUACUGGGCUGUGGGAGCUUUGUCUCUGGUCCUGGUGGGCCAAAAGGCCUGAGAGGAGGGGAGAGGGAGAGAGGAAAGAGAGGGAUAGAGGGAUGGAAACAGAGAGAGAGAGAGAGAGAGAGAGAGAUAGAGAGUGAGAGAGUUUGGUUUGACCUGACUGACAGAAACUUGGGGAAACCUGAAGUUGGUUCCAUCCAGUCCGUCCAGUCUGGCCCCCCAAAAAAGUAGGGGCUCAUUAAAAUGUCAUUGGAUCACGCUUCGCAUGAAUCGUGUGAUUUUCCCUCCACCAUAAGUGACCAUGACUGAGUGGUGAAUGGGGGACCGGGGAGAGCUGGACCAAUAGGGUGCCAUGCUGAGUCCCCAUGGGUACCAGCCCCUCACCGAGGGGGGCUCAUUUAACCAUUGUUCGUCUGUUAACACAGCUUUUUAAAACGCCUCUUUAUGGACUCAGCAAAGCACACUUCAUUCCACGUCCCCAAAGCCAGAAAGGAGUAAAAAAAGACUAGAAAGAAAAGAAAAAAGUGAAGUCGCAAGAAAAACAGCUUGAAAGAUAGAAAGUAUAAGAUGUAUAACUGUGAUUAUUCUCCUAACCACGAUCCAAAAAUAAUGACUCUCAGUGGGCUGCCUCAUAGUUCAACUUAAAAUGAUUUACAUUUCUCUCACAACUAGUAUUAUCUAUUAAACAUGUAAUACAUUCAAUAUUAUGUCCAAAAAAAUCUAUAUCUUUUAUUACAGUUUUUUAGAUCACAAUGAUCCUAUUUGAUGACCGUGGAUAGAUCCUACAUUAGACUAACUAGGUGAUUAAAAGCAGGUCAAUGACAAGCUCCAUCCUCUCUGGUCCUUUGUGAUACAGUCAGUACUGACUCAUGUCCUCCCAGGACUGUGGAGUUCCUACAGCAGAAACAAUAAGAACAUCAGCAUCAACCUGCAAUAUGUUCAUCCUCCAAUGGAAACAACAGGCCUGUCUCAUGUACGGAGUCUUCCACAGUCUCACACAACAGCCAGGAUGACAGUAAAAUACAUAGCAAUGAAGUCAAGUUCACAACAAUAGAGAUAGUGGGGAGUGUGUGUGAGUGUGUGUGUGUGUGUGUAUGUGUGUGUGUGUGUGUGUGUGUGUGUGUGUGUGUGUGUGUGUGUGUGUGUGUGUGUGUGUGUGUGUGUGUGUGUGUGUGUGUGUGUGUGUGUGUGUGUGUGUGUGUGUGUGUAUGUGUGUGAGUGUGUGUGUGUGUGU